RNAcentral lists this ribosomal RNA (3024 nucleotides) under Triticum aestivum (bread wheat). RNAcentral's name for it is "partial small subunit ribosomal RNA". The record is from RNAcentral. Lineage: Eukaryota; Viridiplantae; Streptophyta; Magnoliopsida; Poales; Poaceae.
AUGUCGUUGAUCAUUGCCACUUUUGCAGCCCUUUCUUUGUGCUUCGCCCCUGCUCCUGGUGCAGCGGCGAUCUCGGCGCGGCGUCCGCUGCGGGGCAACGACACGCUGGUCUCGGCGCAGGGCAACUUUGAGCUCGGCCUGUUCAGCCCCGCUGGCAGCUCCGACGGCAGGUUCUACCUCGGGGUCUGGUACAAGAACAUCCCCGGCCAGACCGUUGUCUGGGUUGGCAACCGCGCGAGUCCAUUGUCAGGCGUCGCCUCCGCCGAGCUCCGAGUCUCUGCCAAUGACGGCAACCUCGAGCUCAUCGGUCCCACCGCUGCCUCUGCCUCGCCGGUCGUCGUGUGGUCAUCGAACCUGUCGUCAUCGUCACCGGGCUUGAACAACACGGCGGAGUUUCGCGACAACUUCCUAUCUAGUAUCUCAAUGGGCAGACUACGGAAAGUCUCAGCCAAGGAUGUUCCGCAAGUUUCUUCAGUUGAGAGUCCUAAUUCUUCAAAAGAUCCUUUCGUGCCUAAUGAUUUCGCUGAUGAGGAUGUUAUGUCUUUGGAUUUCUCGGCUCAGGAUGAAGAGUUUGAUAAAGAACUUUACAAUUUCUAUGUGAAUAAUAAAGUGAAGCACCUCAAGAGGAAAUUAUCAUCUGUUAGUAGAAGGAUGUGCCAGUUGUUGAUUGGUGAGGGGACGAUCUCGGCGCGGCGUCCGCUGCCGGGCAGCGACACGCUGGUCUCGGCGCAGGGCAAGUUCGAGCUCGGCCUGUUCAGCCCCGCUGGCAGCUCCGACGGCAGGUUCUACCUUGGGAUCUGGUACAAGAACAUCCCCGGCCAGACCAUCGUCUGGGUUGGCAACCGGGCGAGUCCAUUGUCCGGCAUCGCCUCCGCCGAGCUCCGGGUCUCUGCCAACGACGGCAACCUCGAGCUCCUCGGUCCAACCGCUGCUUCCGCCUCGCCGGUCGUCGUGUGGUCAUCGAACCUAUCGUCGUCGUCACCGGGCUCGAACAACACGGCGGAGAUUCGCGACAACGGCAACCUGGUCCUCCUGGACGGCAGCAACUCCUCCAAUGUGCUGUGGCAGAGCUUCGACCACCCGACAGACACACACAUGCCGGGAGCAUGGCUGGGCGAGAACAAGCUUACCGGCGAAUACCAAACACUGACAUCAUGGCGGAAUGCCCAAGACCCCGCGCCGGGAGUGUUCACCGACACGUUGGAUCCCAACGGCAGCAGCGAGUUUUUGUCGAUGUGGAACCAGUCCCGUACGUACUGGCGGACCGGCGUCUGGACGGGACGCUUCUUCGCGAGGUACCCUGAGGGGACGAGAAAUCUCCUCCUCAACCAGACGUACGUCGACACGCCGGUGUACCGGGGCGUCACCUACGUGCUAUACCACAACGAGUCCAUCGCGCGCAUGGUGCUUGAUCUCACCGGGCAGGCGAAGCGGUACGUCUGGGUGCCCGCGAGGCAGACCUGGCAAUUAUUCUGGGUCGGGCCCACCAUGCAGUGCGACGUGUAUGCUCUCUGUGGCGCAUUCGGCGUAUGCAACCAGAGGAGCCAGCUGCCGUGCCGGUGCCCGUCCGGGUUCACUCCGGCGUCAGAGGCGGAGUGGAUGCUCAGCAACUGGAGCGGUGGGUGUCGCCGGAGCUCGCCGCUCAUGUGCUCGCGUAGCGGGUUGACGACGGAUGGGUUCCUAGCACUGCAGGACGUGAAGCUCCCCGACGACUCACUCGUCGUGGGCGCUGCCCAAAGCAACGCAGAGUGCGAAUCCGCUUGCCAAAAUAACUGCUCUUGCCAGGCCUACGCAUUCUCCGCCGGGGUGUGCACCGUCUGGCAUGGAGAGCUCAAGAACCUUGCGGACUCCGACAUCACAGGCUCAGAACUGUAUCUACGGCUUUCAAAAAGAGGAUUGCAAGAUCUUCAAAGCGUAGACAGGAAGAAAGGUGGGAGAAAGUUAUGGCUUGUCCUUGGCAUCACACUGGCCAGCGUUGCAGCACUGGCCACGUCGGUCAUACUAACUUGGAGGAUUGUUUCUGCCCGGACGAGGAGACUGGUCAGCAUUGCAAACGUGAAUGGAUCCUCCUUGGCCGUGUACAGCUACAACGACAUCCGUGCCGCCACAAAGAACUUUUCAGAGCGGCUGGGCGGCGGUGGCUUUGGCUCAGUGUACCAUGGCGUCCUGAAGCAGCAAAUGGGAGACAACACGGCCCAAGUUCAGGUGGCAGUCAAGAAGCUGGAAAGCCUUUGCCAGGGAGACAAACAAUUUCGGACGGAGGUGAGCACACUGGGCUGCAUCCAGCACGUUAACCUCGUCAGGCUCCUCGGGUUCUGCUCGUCGGGCAACAAAAAGAUGCUCGUCUACGAGUACAUGGCCAGAGGCUCCCUCGACGGCUAUCUUUUCCGUGUAGGUGCGUGCCUGAGCUGGCGAGAAAGGUACUGCAUCAUGGUCGGCGUGGCGAGAGGGCUGACCUACCUGCACGACGGCUGCCACGAGUGUAUCAUACACUGUGACAUCAAGCCGGGGAACAUCCUACUGGACGAGGACAUGUCCCCAAGGAUCGCCGACUUUGGGAUGGCGAAGCUGGUGGGAAGGGACUUCAGCUGCGCUCUUACGACGAUGAGGGGCACCGUUGGGUACCUGGCGCCGGAGUGGAUCUCGGGGCACCCCGUCAGCAGCAAGACCGACGUGUAUAGCUUCGGAAUGGUGCUAUUCGAGCUCAUCUCGGGACGACGAAACUCCGAGGGGUACAGUGAGGUGGAGGCUGCAGGGAGUGAGAGUAGUGAGUCGUGGAUCUUCUUCCCUGUGUGGGCCGCGGGAAAGGUCUUGGAAGGGGACGUAAGUGCCUUGGCAGACCCGCGGCUGAAUGGCGAGGUGGUGCUGGAGGAGCUGAAGCGGGCGUGCACGGUGGCGUGCUGGUGUAUCCAGGACCAGGAGGGGCAGCGCCCGACCAUGGCGCAGGUCGUGCAGGCCCUGGAGGGCACCAUCCACGUCCAGGCACCGCCUGUGCCGCGAGUGUUGCAACAGCUCGUCACAUGA